This 484-nucleotide ribosomal RNA is filed under the name uncultured bacterium. RNAcentral describes it as "partial 16S ribosomal RNA". It matches the Rfam family "Bacterial small subunit ribosomal RNA", at positions 30 to 507 of the family's 1533-position model. The record is from RNAcentral.
AUUGAACGCUGGCGGCAGGCCUAACACAUGCAAGUCGAGCGGAUGAAGGGAGCUUGCUCCUGGAUUCAGCGGCGGACGGGUGAGUAAUGCCUAGGAAUCUGCCUGGUAGUGGGGGAUAACGUCCGGAAACGGGCGCUAAUACCGCAUACGUCCUGAGGGAGAAAGUGGGGGAUCUUCGGACCUCACGCUAUCAGAUGAGCCUAGGUCGGAUUAGCUAGUUGGUGGGGUAAAGGCCUACCAAGGCGACGAUCCGUAACUGGUCUGAGAGGAUGAUCAGUCACACUGGAACUGAGACACGGUCCAGACUCCUGCGGGAGGCAGCAGUGGGGAAUAUUGGACAAUGGGCGAAAGCCUGAUCCAGCCAGGCCGCGUGUGUGAAGAAGGUCUUCGGAUUGUAAAGCACUUUAAGUUGGGAGGAAGGGCAGUAAGUUAAUACCUUGCUGUUUUGACGUUACCAACAGAAUAAGCACCGGCUAACUUCGUG